UACGGAGGGGGCUAGCGUUGUUCGGAAUUACUGGGCGUAAAGCGCGCGUAGGCGGACCUGCAAGUCGGGGGUGAAAGCCCGAGGCUCAACCUCGGAACUGCCUUCGAUACUGCGGGUCUCGAGUCCGGGAGAGGUGAGUGGAAUUCCUAGUGUAGAGGUGAAAUUCGUAGAUAUUAGGAAGAACACCAGAGGCGAAGGCGGCUACCUGGACAAUUGCUGACGCUCAGGCACGAAAGCGUGGGGAGCAAAAGGG
RNAcentral lists this ribosomal RNA (253 nucleotides) under uncultured bacterium. RNAcentral describes it as "partial 16S ribosomal RNA". It matches the Rfam family "Bacterial small subunit ribosomal RNA", at positions 524 to 776 of the family's 1533-position model. The record is from RNAcentral.